Long non-coding RNA from Talpa occidentalis (Iberian mole), 1430 nucleotides. RefSeq lists it as uncharacterized. The record is from RefSeq and is a predicted model, not a curated record. Lineage: Eukaryota; Metazoa; Chordata; Mammalia; Eulipotyphla; Talpidae. The transcript has 4 exons.
CCUGGGGACACCUCCUCCGCGGGGCGCAGAGGGCUCUGCUCCGCCAGGGGCUUCACUCCAGCAACCCAACAAUGGGAAACACAGCUCCGCCCUCACAAGCUCAGGGACUCCGAGGACUCCUCCUCCAAGCAAAGCCUGGGGUGAGCCAGUGGCAGCUGUGCCCACCCUAAGGUCUACACUGAUAUGCACAAAGUAUGGGGACAAGCGGCCCCUCCCAGGCCCCCUGUGGGGUCCAGCCGCCUGGGCAGAGGGGACAGUGUGGGUGAAGGUCCGAGGCGGUGAGCUGAUGGCGUUGCAAGUGCGGAGAAGGUGGGGCGCUGGCGAUGGCCGGGUGUGAGCAGGCAGGGGCAGGCCUCACAGGCCCUCACGCGGCACAGGAGGGGCCUGGACGCUUCUGUUUCAGCAACUCCUCCAGACACGCAGCAGAAACCAGCCUGUGGUUUCUGGAAGUUUGGCCAGCCACAGCCUCGGGAGGAGAAAAGGAAGGAGCACCUUGCCAAACCGGUUUCCCUCCAGUGCCCACAAAAUCUAACCUUGCCUCAAGCCAAGUUCCUGCCAAGGGAGGCCAUACGCGGGUCCGGGGACAGCUCCAGACUCAGGGGACACACCUGCCCACCCCCCCGGGAGGCGCCCACACAGGACGGCAGAGGGAUGGGAAGGGGGCCAGACGCGGAGGAGCGCCGGCGGCCUCCUCAGGGGAGAAAGAGGAGACAGCAGAGAGGCGGUGGAAGCUUCCAGAAAGACAAGGCGAGGCGAAGUCAAGUCAGACUUUGGGACACAGAACACUCUGAGCCGCGGAUCCUGUGGGAGCUGGUGAAGGUGCGAGAAAUCCAAAUAUAUGACAUGGGCCCAGGCCCCACGCCUCCCCCCUGGGAGGGCAGACAGCUGCCGGACACCUCCUGGACUGGGGGGGUGGACAGCUGCCGGACACAUCCCGGACUGGGGGGGUGGACAGCCACCGGACACAUCCCGGAGCUCACGGGUUCUCUGAAGAGACCUGAAGGGCCCUCCCCCGGUGUCUCGCGAGAUGUCGGGGGCCCUGAAAGCAGCACGUAGACACCCACCUCCAGGGCACGCUGACCCCUGUGUCCAGGUACCAAAUGCGAGUCCAGCCUCACUCCACAGCUGCCCGCCCCGGCCCUGACGCCCCUCCCCCCGCCUGGCACUCACCAUCACGAGCUCCUUCUGGAAGGACGUGUGGUCCUUGUUGUCCACGUUGUUGCAGUCCUCCUUCAGCUUCUCCAGGACACAGGCCACCCGCUCGGGCUCGCUGUCCAGCUCGGCCCGGCAGAAGAAGGUGAGCGGCAGGUCCCCGUAGCCCAGGGCGUCGGCGAAGGAGCGCCAGCUGCCCACGUUCUCCAUGAGCAGCGUCCUGACGGAGGCGUAGAUGUAGGUGAGGAACUUGCAGGGCCGCAGGAUCUGCUCCAGCA